Molecule: ribosomal RNA, 511 nt
Filed under: uncultured bacterium
Lineage: Bacteria
Description: bacterial SSU rRNA
Rfam family: Bacterial small subunit ribosomal RNA
Source: RNAcentral
AGAGUUUGAUCCUGGCUCAGAACGAACGCUGGCGGCGUGGAUAAGACAUGCAAGUCGAACGGGCCUUGUAGCAAUAUGAGGUCAGUGGCGUAAGGGUGCGUAACACGUAGGUUACCUGCCCGGAAGUGGGGGAUAGCUCGCCGAAAGGCGAAUUAAUACCGCAUGUGGCAUUUGCCAAAGCCGGGGAAACCUGGCGCUUCCGGAUGGGCCUGCGGCCUAUCAGCUAGUUGGAGGGGUAACGGCCCACCAAGGCUAGGACGGGUAGCUGGUCUGAGAGGACGACCAGCCACACUGGAACUGAGACACGGUCCAGACACCUACGGGUGGCAGCAGUCGAGAAUUUUUCUCAAUGGGGGAAACCCUGAAGGAGCGACGCCGCGUGGAGGAUGAAGGUCUUCGGAUUGUAAACUCCUGUCAUUGGUGAACAAAAUACGUGGUCUAACUAAUCAUGUGUCGAUAGUAGCCGAAGAGGAAGGGACGGCAAACUCUGUGCCAGCCGCCGCGGUAAUUC